AUUGAACGCUGGCGGCAUGCCUUACACAUGCAAGUCGAACGGUAACAGGUUAAGCUGACGAGUUGCGCACGGGUGAGUAGUGUAUCGGACAGUGCCCUGUCGUGGGCGAUAAUUUCUCGAAAGAUCAGGUAAUACCGCAUACGACCUGAGAGUAAAAGCGGGUGCUCGCAAGGCCUUGGACGAUUGGAGCGGCCGAGAUCAGAUUAGCUAGUUGGUGAGGUAAAGGCUCACCAAGCCGACGCCCUGUAGCUGGUCUGAGAGGACGACCAGCCACACUGGGAGUGAGACACGGCCCAGACGCCUACGGGAGGCAGCAGUGGGGAAUCUUGGACAAGGGGCGCAAGCCUGAGCCAGCCAUGCCGCGUGCGGGAAGAAGGCCUUCGGGUUGUAAACCGCUUUUGUCAGGGAAGAAAAGGUUCUGGCUAAUACCUGGGAGUCAUGACGGUACCUGAAGAAUAAGCACCGGCUAACUACGUG
RNAcentral lists this ribosomal RNA (477 nucleotides) under uncultured bacterium. Its description in RNAcentral is "partial 16S ribosomal RNA". It matches the Rfam family "Bacterial small subunit ribosomal RNA", at positions 30 to 507 of the family's 1533-position model. The record is from RNAcentral.